AGUGAACGCUGGCGGUAGGCCUAACACAUGCAAGUCGAACGGCAGCACAGUAAGAGCUUGCUCUUACGGGUGGCGAGUGGCGGACGGGUGAGGAAUACAUCGGAAUCUACUUUUUCGUGGGGGAUAACGUAGGGAAACUUACGCUAAUACCGCAUACGACCUACGGGUGAAAGCAGGGGAUCUUCGGACCUUGCGCGAUUGAAUGAGCCGAUGUCGGAUUAGCUAGUUGGCGGGGUAAAGGCCCACCAAGGCGACGAUCCGUAGCUGGUCUGAGAGGAUGGUCAGCCACACUGGAACUGAGACACGGUCCAGACGCCUACGGGAGGCAGCAGUGGGGAAUGUUGGACAAUGGGCGCAAGCCUGAUCCAGCCAUACCGCGUGGGUGGAGAAGGCCUUCGGGUUGUAAAGCCCUUUUGUGGGGAAAGAAAAGCAGCAGGUUAAUACCCCGCUGUUCUGACGGUACCCAAAGAAUAAGCACCGGCUAACUUCGUG
Molecule: ribosomal RNA, 492 nt
Filed under: uncultured bacterium
Lineage: Bacteria
Description: partial 16S ribosomal RNA
Rfam family: Bacterial small subunit ribosomal RNA
Source: RNAcentral